AGCAGUCGCCGCGGUAUACGUAGGUGGCAAGCGUUGUCCGGAAUUAUUGGGCGUAAAGGGCUCGCAGGCGGUUUCUUAAGUCUGAUGUGAAAGCCCCCGGCUCAACCGGGGAGGGUCAUUGGAAACUGGGAAACUUGAGUGCAGAAGAGGAGAGUGGAAUUCCACGUGUAGCGGUGAAAUGCGUAGAGAUGUGGAGGAACACCAGUGGCGAAGGCGACUCUCUGGUCCGUAACUGACGCUGAGGAGCGAAAGCGUGGGGAGCGAACAGGAUUAGAUACCCCCGUAGUCCCUGUCUCUUAUACA
This 303-nucleotide ribosomal RNA is filed under the name uncultured bacterium. RNAcentral's name for it is "partial 16S ribosomal RNA". It matches the Rfam family "Bacterial small subunit ribosomal RNA", at positions 507 to 808 of the family's 1533-position model. The record is from RNAcentral.